RNAcentral lists this non-coding RNA (234 nucleotides) under Caldalkalibacillus thermarum. RNAcentral describes it as "T-box sequence". It matches the Rfam family "T-box leader". Rfam says of the family: Uncharged tRNA acts as the effector for transcription antitermination of genes in the T-box leader family. T-boxes are found upstream of many aminoacyl-tRNA synthetase genes and some amino acid biosynthetic genes usually in Gram-positive bacteria. The record is from RNAcentral. Lineage: Bacteria; Bacillati; Bacillota; Bacilli; Caryophanales; Bacillaceae.
ACUGAUCCGAUGACAGGAAGAGUAGACAAGCAGCGCCUAGACAGAGAGGAAGCACCGUGGCUGAAAGUGCUUCUCUAGUGCCGCGCUUGUUGAAAGACAUCCUGUAGGACCGCUAUUGAAAGAGGGGCUCGAGUAAAUAGCGGCGUGACCCGCGUUAAGGGUAAAGUGGGUAAAUGGCCCAAAGCCAUUUACCAAUGAGGGUGGUACCACGGGUGUAAACAACUCGUCCCUGAU